RNAcentral lists this ribosomal RNA (351 nucleotides) under Triticum aestivum (bread wheat). RNAcentral describes it as "partial small subunit ribosomal RNA". Lineage: Eukaryota; Viridiplantae; Streptophyta; Magnoliopsida; Poales; Poaceae. The record is from RNAcentral.
AUGAUUCAACCUCAGACCCUUUUAAAUGUAGCAGAUAAUAGUGGAGCUCGAAAAUUGAUGUGUAUUCGAGUCAUAGGAGCUGCUGGUAAUCAGCGAUAUGCUCGUAUUGGUGAUGUUAUUGUUGCUGUAAUCAAAGACGCAUUGCCCCAAAUGCCUCUAGAAAGAUCCGAAGUAAUUCGAGCUGUAAUUGUACGUACAUGUAAAGAGUUCAAAUGCGAAGACGGUAUAAUAAUCCGCGUGGGUGUUGUUGUUGUUCUGGAACUCUUUAUGUGUGAAAUAUCUAGGAAAAUUUUGCAUCGGUGCACUGUGUAUAAUGAAGAGAUCUCGAGCAGACUGAAACCUAUGGACUAA